CUCCACGUCCAUACCAGGAUAAAAGCACCUGUCGUCAGAUCACAGAAGUUGAGCAUCGUCGGGCCGGGAUAGUACUUGGAUGUGGGACCGCCUGGGAACUCCCAGUGGGGUGGAGU
This 116-nucleotide ribosomal RNA is filed under the name Clytia hemisphaerica. Lineage: Eukaryota; Metazoa; Cnidaria; Hydrozoa; Leptothecata; Clytiidae. The record is from RNAcentral.